GCAGUCCUGCCCCGUUUACAGUGGCUCCCAUGUCGUUGCACAGCGGUGCUGCGCCACACCGCUGACACGCCCGCCACCCCCUGACUGUCCCUUCUCCCCACCCCACCCUUCCCCAGCCUUGCUGCAUGAGACAAACACGUCACAGCUAUACCAGCCGAGCAGUGAGCACCCGGAACGUAUACAUAUAUUGCACGCCACUUGCUGCGGAGCGGACAGAGUUCUUACGAUCUUCCCACAGGGAUAGUCGCUUGUGACUGAAUCUCGUGGCCACUUCGAUAAAGCCAUGCUGCGCUGUCUGUGGGUGGUGGUCCUGCUAGCGGCGCUGUCGGUGACCUGCGCCAGCCCAUCCUGGUACUCUCGGCCCAGCGGCAUUGGGGAGUCACUGCGGAUCGCCCAGGACUUUCAUAACGCCAGACGGUGGCAGAGCAGGUACCGGCGCACGACCACGCCGCGCUGGGGCUGGAGGACGCCAACGCCCACCCAGGACACCCUGUCACAAUUCCGGGACGCCGUGGCCACCUGGAGGAACAACCAGCUGCGCAUGAUGGGCUGAGGGGGCGAAAUAGGAGAGCCGGUCUUGAGCCACCAGCCUCUCCCUGCCAAGUGCCAACGCAGGAUAUGAAAUAAAUCUUAGCUGAUGUGAUGCUAUUUUCCCUCUUAUUGGUACUGCUAUUAUCACCUUCAACUUGCAAUGUCAGCCCAUAGCAUGGGCGUUCGUCUCGCGGCGUUCCAACCGUCGGCUGUGCUGUUACUGGACUUACAUAAGAUUUAGGGUUUACGUACACUUGCUAUAUCAGCUUGUGUUACUUGUGAUAUGGAUGUAAGUAGAAGCCAGUGUCCGUUGCAUGGUUGACCGAAUAUAUUUUUUUAAUGACGCUUUAGUUACAUUUAACAGAGAGAUACGCAAGAUAAGCUUUUACGGGAAUCGCUGCCACGGUCAUAAAUGAAGAUAAAACGAUUGAAUUUCAUGAUGAGCACGACGCAAAAUAAAAUUCUGCAAUCUU
Amphibalanus amphitrite is the source of this 1004-nucleotide long non-coding RNA. RefSeq lists it as uncharacterized. The record is from RefSeq and is a predicted model, not a curated record. The transcript is spliced from 2 exons. NCBI's taxonomy places the organism in Eukaryota, Metazoa, Arthropoda, Thecostraca, Balanomorpha, Balanidae.